This 413-nucleotide ribosomal RNA is filed under the name uncultured bacterium. RNAcentral's name for it is "bacterial SSU rRNA". It matches the Rfam family "Bacterial small subunit ribosomal RNA", at positions 505 to 916 of the family's 1533-position model. The record is from RNAcentral.
GUGCCAGCCGCCGCGGUAAUACGUAGGGGGCAAGCGUUGUCCGGAUUUAUUGGGCGUAAAGAGCGUGUAGGCGGCCAGACAGGUCCGUUGUGAAAACUCGAGGCUCAACCUCGAGACGCCGAUGGAAACCGUUUGGCUAGAGUCCGGAAGAGGAGAGUGGAAUUCCCAGUGUAGAGGUGAAAUUCGUAGAUAUUGGGAAGAACACCGGUGGCGAAGGCGGCUCUCUGGACCGAUACUGACGCUGAGGCGCGAAAGCGUGGGGAGCAAACAGGAUUAGAUACCCUGGUAGUCCACGCCCUAAACGAUGGGUACUAGGUGUUCGGGGUGUUGACCCCCUGAGUGCCGCAGCUAACGCAUUAAGUACCCCGCCUGGGGACUACGGCCGCAAGGUUAAAACUCAAAUGAAUUGACGG